Ictidomys tridecemlineatus (thirteen-lined ground squirrel) is the source of this 2446-nucleotide non-coding RNA. The record is from RefSeq and is a predicted model, not a curated record. NCBI's taxonomy places the organism in Eukaryota, Metazoa, Chordata, Mammalia, Rodentia, Sciuridae.
GUGCUAUCACUUCUCCCAGAAUAAUAAUACCCAUUAUUCUGUAAACCCCAUGAUUUACAGAAUAAAGGGCACUCCUUCCUCUCCACCCCUAGAAACAGAAACUUGGUUUAUAAACAUCCCUGAGACAAAUCAAUCUGCUUUGUUCUCAGGCACCAGCUCUGCUUCAAAAUUCCUCCAGCUGUAAUUUCUCCUGAGCUCUUUGGAGACAGCAGCCUCUGCUUAUAGAGAGUUUCAGAUGGAGUCAUAAUGGAGUAGGAUGACUUGAUACCCAACAUGAUACCCAAAGAGAAAUCUGUACUCAGACAAGAAGAGCAUCAUAUGAUCAUGAAGGCAGAGAUUGGAAUGAUGCUGCUGCCAGCCACAGGACACCUGGGACCACCAAAAGCUGGAACAGGCCUUGAAAUGAGUAUGGCCAUGCCAACUCCUUGAAUUUGAACUUUUGGCCUUCAGGAUGGUGAGAGGAUGAAUUUCUGUAAUUUUAAGCCAAAUGGCUUCUGGUACUUUGUUACAGUAGCCAUAGGAAAUUAAUAUAUAUUUUCAUAAUAUAUAUGAGCUCCAUAAGAUUCUCUUACCCCUUUGUAAUUAGUACUUUGCAGUGACCCAAGGAUCACCCUGACCUCUAUAUUGGAGUAGAGGGGGAGCCCCCCAAUCUUUCAGCUACUGUUUGUAUUAGCGUUAUUCUUAGUGGUCCAUUCUUACAGAUGAAAAUGACUCAAUAAGAAACUCUAACUAUUCCACGGUCCCAUUCAAUCUUGGUCUCAAUGGUUUUCAACCAUUUGGGUUAAACCUGACUUUGCAAAUAUGGUGAAAAUCCUAAGAAGAAGAAGUCACCUAUCUCCCCACCCACGUUUGGCAAUAUCAGACCCCAUGAGCUCACCUGUGGAGGCUGUCCUAACAAGCUGUGGUCCGUUUGUCCACUGUCUGCCUGAAUACCUACUCAGAUGGGAGAUCUGCACUGAAAGAGGCAACCCAUACCACUCUGCAGAGCUCCCUGUCCUGCAAAGCCACUCCUGCUACCUGACAUCAGGUCCUGGAGGCUUCCACCUACUGCUCCUGAGGUCAUCUUUGUGGACUGAGAUGCAGAACAGAAGGGCAAGGAAGGUUUGAUCCUGUCUGUGAAAUAAGAAUCUAUAGAAACCUGCAUGGAAAUGAAUGACCACCAGGCCCGAGGCCAACUCUCAGAGAGGGAAGCAGUGUUGUGGGAGAGCCCAGAGUUUGGAUUUCCCUGGGUUUGAACAUUAUCAUAUGUCACACCCUGGAUUACUGGUGGCAUUUCUGUGUUUAAACCCCUUUUGUGUCUAUAUUGUAGGAAACCCUAGCACAUAGUAGGUAUCCCAUCCGGAAUGGUUUAGAUCAAAGGGAAAACCCAACAGGAACAAAAGACAGGACCAAGUUCCAGAGGAGAUGGGAAAGAGGAGAAGACAGAAUUUCCAUCUCAAAUAGCACCCUUCCCAGUGAGAUGGUCAUCUUUAAUACGUAGAGCUCGUUUUUAAAAAUUAUAGACAUUAAUUUUUAAAGCAGUUUAAGAUUCUCAAAAAGAAAAUUGAAUAGAAGGUUCAUAAAGGUGCUGUAUGCCCCCUUCCCCCAAGCCAUGCUUGCUGCCCACACCCAUGGCCUUGUCCACUAUGUACGUCCCCACAGGAGUGGGGCCGAGUUACAGGCGUGACCCUACAUGGACACACCUUCAUCACCUGAAGUCUGUGGUUUGCUCAGGAUUCACUCUCGGUGUUGUGCACAAUAUGGGUUUUGAAAAAUGUGCAGACAUCUUCCCACCAUUAUGGUAUCACACAGAGUGGUGUUCCGUCUACUCAUUCUCCUUCCUCACAACCCCUGGCCACCACUGGUCUUUGCACUGAUUCUGUGGUUUUGCUUUCUCAACAAUGUACGGGUGCCAUCAUAUGAAAUGCAGCCUUUUCCCUUUGGCUCCCUUCACUCCGCCCUGUGCCGAGUGAUAUUAGUAAUAAUAUUCCAUGUUCUGUGGUAAAAUUAGAAACCAUUUCCUUACAUGAUGCCUAUCAAAAUAUCUUGUGCACCUUUACCAUGGACCAUUAAAAAAAAAUUCCAUUACCUGGGGUACCACAUGUAUCCAUGAACCUGUUGAAGAAUCUGAUCCCUUUGUUGAGUUAAAUUAAGUCUCUCUCUCAAUACAGCGUCGAGGGCCAGGUGGCCACAUUCCAGAUCCCUUGGAAGUCAACAGGUCCUCCGAUUGGCCUAGGAUUUCAGCAAUGUCCUACAAAGGAGCAGGUCUCUGUCUUGAGAGUCCCAACACCAUGACAUUUAGAGCUUCAAGAAGCAAGUGGAUUUGCUGGGAUUGGCCUGGAAGAUCCCAAGGUGACAUCCCUACAGCUGCCGUCACUCACAAGUCCCAUCCACCCCAAAGGGGGGACCCAUGGGUGCUCUUGGAACAUCUGAUCUCAUAAAGGCAGACCACUCUGCUUCCUUAUCA